RNAcentral lists this ribosomal RNA (601 nucleotides) under uncultured bacterium. RNAcentral's name for it is "bacterial SSU rRNA". It matches the Rfam family "Bacterial small subunit ribosomal RNA", at positions 820 to 1421 of the family's 1533-position model. The record is from RNAcentral.
GAGGUUGUUCCCUUGAGGAGUGGCUUCCGGAGCUAACGCGUUAAGUCGACCGCCUGGGGAGUACGGCCGCAAGGUUAAAACUCAAAUGAAUUGACGGGGGCCCGCACAAGCGGUGGAGCAUGUGGUUUAAUUCGAUGCAACGCGAAGAACCUUACCUGGCCUUGACAUCCACGGAAUUUGGCAGAGAUGCCUUAGUGCCUUCGGGAACCGUGAGACAGGUGCUGCAUGGCUGUCGUCAGCUCGUGUUGUGAAAUGUUGGGUUAAGUCCCGCAACGAGCGCAACCCUUAUCCUUUGUUGCCAGCGAUUCGGUCGGGAACUCAAAGGAGACUGCCGGUGAUAAACCGGAGGAAGGUGGGGAUGACGUCAAGUCAUCAUGGCCCUUACGGCCAGGGCUACACACGUGCUACAAUGGCGUAUACAAAGAGAAGCGAACUCGCGAGAGCAAGCGGACCUCAUAAAGUACGUCGUAGUCCGGAUCGGAGUCUGCAACUCGACUCCGUGAAGUCGGAAUCGCUAGUAAUCGUGGAUCAGAAUGCCACGGUGAAUACGUUCCCGGGCCUUGUACACACCGCCCGUCACACCAUGGGAGUGGGUUGCAAA